AUUGAACGCUGGCGGCAUGCUUUACACAUGCAAGUCGAACGGUAACAGGUUAAGCUGACGAGUGGCGAACGGGUGAGUAAUGCAUCGGAACGUGCCCGAUCGUGGGGGAUAACGCAGCGAAAGCUGCGCUAAUACCGCAUACGAUCUGAGGAUGAAAGCGGGGGACCGUAAGGCAUCGCGCGAUCGGAGCGGCCGAUGUCAGAUUAGGUAGUUGGUGGGGUAAAGGCUCACCAAGCCGACGAUCUGUAGCUGGUCUGAGAGGACGACCAGCCACACUGGGACUGAGACACGGCACAGACUCCUACGGGAGGCAGCAGUGGGGAAUUUUGGACAAUGGGCGAAAGCCUGAUCCAGCAAUGCCGCGUGCAGGAAGAAGGCCUUCGGGUUGUAAACUGCUUUUGUACGGAGCGAAAAGGCUCUCUCUAAUACAGGGGGCUCAUGACGGUACCGUAAGAAUAAGCACCGGCUAACUACGUGCCAGCCGCCGCCGUAA
Molecule: ribosomal RNA, 493 nt
Filed under: uncultured bacterium
Lineage: Bacteria
Description: partial 16S ribosomal RNA
Rfam family: Bacterial small subunit ribosomal RNA
Source: RNAcentral